Chelonia mydas (Green sea turtle) is the source of this 3315-nucleotide long non-coding RNA. RefSeq lists it as uncharacterized. NCBI's taxonomy places the organism in Eukaryota, Metazoa, Chordata, Testudines, Cheloniidae. The record is from RefSeq and is a predicted model, not a curated record. The transcript is spliced from 3 exons.
GACAGCAGCAGGCAGCAGAAGAACACCCAGGCUGUCCUCCUGCAGAGCUAGCAGCAACACCAUGAAGGGCAGCUUGUGGCCCAGCAGUAACUGGAGGCCCAAUGCGGCUGGGGGGAGCGCUGUCCGCAGUUCCUGGAGCUUGUCCUGCACUCGUCUGCUGCAGUGCUGAGGAAGUAAACCUGAAUCAAGGUGACAGGUCACUGGAUGCAAAGAGGAUGGAGUAUUCAGAAAAAUGGGCUAGACCAAUCAGGGAUUCCCUAGACAUUCGAGAGAUUCCCUGGUGAUCUGUUUCCAGCGUGGGGUUCCAUUAACAAACAAGACUCCCAAAAGGGGAAUGUUACUGAGAAUUUCCACAGUGUGAAGUCUCCUUAACUGGGCAAGAAGGGGGAACUGAGGCAGUGGACAAGCCCACAGGUAUAACUGAGAUCAGAAUUAGGCCCUGUAAGUGGAACUUCCCUAAGAAGUCUAUUGGUAGAUGCCAGGAAAUAGACUCUGUCUCACUCUCCCAGAGCUGUAUUGGUUCAUUAGUGCUAACAGCAGUAAAAAGUAGCAAACUUGAUUUAAGGCAAUAAAGCAAGCAAAAUUUGGCAUAGAACAGCUCUGUGGAGUAAGAAAGGGACUUUUUCAUAACUUUUCAGGUUUUCAGAGCAGACUACACUUUACAUGGUACUUUGUCAGGCAGGCUAGUUGUGUAUUGCUUGCCGUAUGUCCUGUUACAGCAACUAACAUCCUUAUAACUGGAGCUGCUGACCAUCAUCGAAUAUAAUCUCAGGAGGACAAGGGACUGGUUCAAGUUCCUCAACCAUCCUAACUUCAGUACUGGCCUCUGCAACUUCUUUUCCCUGCCUGACUCUCUCCUGAGGGAAACAUCUGCCUUGAAUGAAUAUCAAGUUUUUGCUUUUUCACCCACCCACUCCCAAUAACUGCCUGUCUUCUUCAGCAGGACCCACCUAUAGCCAAGAACAGACUCUGAUCUUGGGGCUCUGACAAUGAGCUCAAACCCUAAACCUUCAUGAAAGCCUCUUAUCAACUCUGGACCCAAGCCCCAGGGAGAGAUAGGCCUGUCUGAGGAACUCAUCCAGCAUAUUAUCUGAACUGCCUUCAAACCUUACACCACAUGUGAUCGGAGGCAACCACCCACUCAGGGGCACAACCAGAACUUUUCUAAGGAUGGGUCCCAGGGAGAAGAUGUCUCUCUAGUAGAGCACCUGUCCUCGGGUGGAGAAGAUGUUGAAGCUCAGAGUACCACUUGGGUAUGGCUUACAGAAGGCAGAGCCAGCUGCUGGCAGGGAAGGAAGCGCUGGGACGUGCCAAGCCUGGACUGCCAGUGUCAGGGUCAGAUGCAGUCUGGAGAGUGCGGGGGGAGUACUGUGCAGGCCCAGAGCUCCAGCGCCUCAUGGAAAGCCCCAGACCUCCCUCCCCACUGCUGCCCCACUGUGGGCAGGGGGCUCAAGAAAGUACCAGGUCCUCCCCUCCUAGCCCACCUUGCUGGGAGUCCAGCAGGGGCUCCCCCACUAAUGGGCUGGGGUGCCUGCAUCCCUGCUUGUCUCCUGUGUUGGUGGCAGGUCCCCAGCUGCAGGGCCACGCCACGUUGCUCUCUGGGGAACGGCCAGGAGGCGAAGCAGCGGCUGCUGGGUUUCUGCUUAAACCUGGCCUUUCCCCCCUGCAGAUGGUACAUCUGCACUCCUAGUCCUCUAUAGCAAUGAGUUCAACCUCUGUUUUCCCAAAGCACACUCUAGAGCAGUGCUAUUCAAAGCGGUGGUCCAUGGACCGGUGCCAGUCCGCGAGCACAUUUGGGGAAAAAAAAAAAAUUGCCGGUCUCCCACAUCAGAUAACGUGAGAAGUACUGCUCUAGAGGACACCGAUGCCUCAGAACAAACCCUCCCCAAGAACUGCGAGCGAUUCCUCCCACAAGUUGCCCAACCUUUGCCUGCUUCAGAGCAAAUGGCUGAGCUCCACAGUCUGCUAGACCUUUGAGCUGACUACCUCUUAAGAAGGCUUGAAGUUUAAAUGUUCCAGGCCAAACUGAGAUGCCCUUUCUUGCACUGAGUGGCAUCUUGCUCUGUGAGUAGCCUCCCUGAAACCAACAGGACUAAUUAGGGAGUAGCGUACCACUCAGUGUGAGUACGGGCAUCAGGACUUCCCAAGAUAAACUUUUUAUUUGGGGGGUGGUGGUCUGCCUUCUCCCCAAAGUAGCUUCACAAGGGAAAGUACAUUCUCCCCAGUGCUGCCUCACUUCUAUCCCUCCCUUUUGGAUUUUUAAUUUGAUUUGGAACAUAAACAGUGACCGAGCAAGAUCUGAUGACGUAUCUUGGGGCAGAAGACCAAGGUUGCAUUUAAUAAACUAUCGCUGCUCUUGGCAAAAGCAACACUAAAUCCUGCCCAGCAGACAGUGUAGCUAGCCAGAGCUGGUGCGUUGGCGUGGCGACAGCAGAUUCUCUCCCAUCUAGUAGGGAGCCAGGUUCAAGGGUUUAAAUAAUCAAGUUUCAAGCUCUGGCACGGAGUGUCUCACACAGGACAGGUUCAGGCUUCCCAGGGGGCUGCCCACCUCUCUGAGUGGCAGGGACGGAUGUCAAUCUGUGAAGUGGUAUUGCAUCAGCUCCAGAGAGAGAGAGAGAUGUUCGCUGGAACUGGCAGCUGCCUUUUGUUCCACAAUGGCAGCUGCCAGCAAGAGACAGACAGGGCAAGGGGAGACUAUAUAAUAGCAACGUGCUAGAUGCAAAGCGUAUUACACGCUAGAUUUAAAGUAAAAGAGUAUGUGUUGGGGUAAAUAUUCAGCGCAACGCACAGUGACUUAGCCCCAUGACUCUUGUUACUGUUGGGGGGGGGAGGGCGCGUGGGUUACAUCACCCUUUGUCAUGCUGAAUGUUCUGCAAAUGCAAUAAAUAAAAAAAAUGGAGAUUUUAUACAAAUUUCAAUUAUAGAGGUGAGGGGGAGCUGACAUUUGACACAGACAUCCUCACCCACCUGACCAAGCUGAAAGGAGGGGAUUCUUCCCCCAUCCCCCCCCAAAGGAGGGACUGUGAGGUGAAUAUAUUAGGCUCCUUGUGUUUGCCCUUUCCUUUCAGGCCAUUAUUUUGCUUUCUUGUUUGUUUAUUUUUUUUGGCUGAGUUCAUUUAAAUGGAUUUAGUACAGGGCAACGGCUGUGGAGACUGAAUUUCCCCUCUUGAUAAGAUUGGCAUGCUGUUGGCAGUAAACGUUCCCCCUCCUUCUUACCCCCAACCUACCAGUGAGCAUCAACCCUAACCUGGAGGGACCAGCCCUAAGUUGGUGCAGGUAGCUAAUUAUUAGGUACUUGUAUUGCAGUAGCACAGA